GAUGAACGCUGGCGGCGUGCCUAAUACAUGCAAGUCGAGCGAACAGACGAGGAGCUUGCUCCUCUGACGUUAGCGGCGGACGGGUGAGUAACACGUGGAUAACCUACCUAUAAGACUGGGAUAACUUCGGGAAACCGGAGCUAAUACCGGAUAAUAUAUUGAACCGCAUGGUUCAAUAGUGAAAGACGGUUUUGCUGUCACUUAUAGAUGGAUCCGCGCCGCAUUAGCUAGUUGGUAAGGUAACGGCUUACCAAGGCAACGAUGCGUAGCCGACCUGAGAGGGUGAUCGGCCACACUGGAACUGAGACACGGUCCAGACUCCUACGGGAGGCAGCAGUAGGGAAUCUUCCCCAAUGGGCGAAAGCCUGACGGAGCAAAGCCGCGUGAGUGAUGAAGGUCUUCGGAUCGUAAAACUCUGUUAUUAGGGAAGAACAAAUGUGUAAGUAACUAUGCACGUCUUGACGGUACCUAAUCAGAAAGCCACGGCUAACUACGUG
This 497-nucleotide ribosomal RNA is filed under the name uncultured bacterium. RNAcentral describes it as "partial 16S ribosomal RNA". It matches the Rfam family "Bacterial small subunit ribosomal RNA", at positions 28 to 507 of the family's 1533-position model. The record is from RNAcentral.